RNAcentral lists this long non-coding RNA (5662 nucleotides) under Homo sapiens (human). Its description in RNAcentral is "non-protein coding lnc-ZNF654-3:1". Lineage: Eukaryota; Metazoa; Chordata; Mammalia; Primates; Hominidae. The record is from RNAcentral.
GCUCACUACAACCUCUGUCUCCCGGGUUCAAGUGAUUCUUCUGCCUCAGGCUCCCGAGUAGCUGGGUCUACAGGUGCGUGCCGCCAUGCCUGGCUAAUUUUUUUUGUAUUUUUAAUAGAGACGGGGUUUCACCGUGUUAGCCAGGAUGGUCUCGAUUUCCUGACCUCGUGUUCUGCCCGCCUUGGCCUCCCAAAUUUCUGGGAUUACAGGUGUGAGCCACCAUGCCUGGCGCCAUAUAGAUUUUAUCAAUACAAAAUACAGGAUAUUUUGACAGGCCACUUUAUUUAGAAUUGGAAACAAAAGUUUCCAAAUUGUUUGAAUGUGCUAAAUGCUUUUAGCUUUAUUUUUCUAGUCUGAACCUUUCCAGUAGCCUUUCAGUAAGAUGUAAAUAUUGAAAUUAAAUGUAAUAUUUACUGUGGUAUAUAAAACCAGAAACUCCAGAACUACUUGUGUUAGUCAUGAAAUCACUGGCCUAGAGUUUGGUAGCUUCUAACUUCUAUUGCCAGUACUGCUAAAUCUUCUUUUUUUUUCUUUUUCUUUUUUUUUUGUGAGUCAUUUGGUGAGGCUCUUGAUCAGUAAUUUUCAUCUUCAGUUUGUAGAUAUCUUAAGUCUCAGGUGUGCAAUUAGUUAUACUUGAAUUAAUAAAUUUAAGGAUUGAAGGAAAAAUCACCCACUGCCAGCUGUUACUUGUCUGAUUCAGUGUUUUCUGAAAAAAAAAAAAAAAAAAAAAAAAAACCAGGAAAGCCUUUUCCUUAAAACAUUUAGUUUAUAAGUUUGCAUCUUUUCCAUGUCUCAUCUUUUACUAUACUAAUUAGUAUCACACUUAAUUCUCAAAUUGUUACAUGUAAGUUACCUUUGCCUCCCUAAAUUGUAAAUUAUUAGAACCGGUGAUUCUUACUUAUUUUGCAGUCUUCUUUUUCCCAGUGCCUUGCACAGGAUAAGUCAAAUUUGGGGUGCUUAUUACAUGCCAGUUACUAUUCCAUAUACAUUGCAUGUAUUUACUCAUUCAAUCUUGUGAGCAGCUACAUGAGAUAGAUGCGAUUAUCCCUCUUUUACCUGAAAACAGGAUUGAAUAACUUCCUAGGCUAUCAAAGUAUGCGAUAAAUACUGUGACUACACUAUAUUUCCUCAUAUGUAGUAGGGUUUUGAGGAAUACUUUUUGACUGAUUAUCUUCAAUGUGAAGGUUUUCAUUUGCUGGCAUUUAUUUCCAAAACAAAGAUUCCUUUAAUCUAUAUUGCUUGUCUAAAUGCAGAGUAGGAGUAUUAUUUCAUAUUGUAUUCUACUUGUAAUUAUAUCUCGAAUUGCUUAUUUAGUGAUUUAUAACAUCUUGGAGAAAAAUACAGAAUAUUCAUGUAAAACAAUAUUUCAUAAAGAUAAUUGGGUAACAUAUGUAACAAUUUAUAUCAAAUCUCUUGAACUCACCACAAUCUCUAGUCUUUUUCCCCUCCUGUUUAUGACACCAUUGUGCUUUUAGUGUCAGAGACAGUCUUUGUUUCAUAUGUUCAAUUUCUUGCCACAUCUGGAUGUAGCGUAUCUGUAGUGUUUUCUGUUUCUGCUGCUGCUGUUAGGUUCUCUUUACCUAACCUUUCACUAAUUUUAAUCUUAUUUCUCUGCUUUAAUAUUUGUUGCCUAUUUAUGACAUUAAAAUUUUCUUAAAGUACAACUUUCAUGUGCAGAACUUUCAGUGGUGUUGCAUUACCUCCAAAAUAAAAUCCAGAUUUCAUAAUCUGCCAUUCAUCGCCACCUAGUUUGAUCCACUCACUUUCACACAUUGUUUGGUACAAUCAUCUACUAAGUAGGCUUUCUCUUUAUCCUGUACUUACUUAGACCUCUGUUUUAUGCCCACGUAUCCAAACUUAAUUUUUGGCCAGGCGCAGUGGCUAUCUCCUAUAAUCCCAGCACUUUGGGAGGCCGAGGCGGGCGGAUCACAAGGUCAGGAGUUCAAGACCAGCCUGGCCAACAUGGUGAAACCCCGUCUCUACAAAAACAAAAAUUAACUGGGCGUGGUGGCAUGUUCCUGAAGUCCCAGCUACUCUGUAGGCUGAGGCAGGAGAAUUGCUUGAACUGGCACCCAGGAGGCAGAGGUUGCAGUGAGCUGAGAUCGUGCCAUUGCACUCCAGCCGGGGCUACAGAGUGAGACUCAGUCUCAAAAAAAAAAAAAAAAAUAUUUAUUUUUAUUUUUUAUUACAGGCAGUUGGAUAAUAUAUUGUAGAAAGAAAAGAACUAUGAUUCAAACAGUUUAAUAAUGAAAUUUCUUCAAUAAAUCAAGCAUUAUUCCUCUGCAGGAGUUUUGUGUACAUUGUCUAGAAUAAUCUUUCCCAAGCUUUUUGCAUGGCUGCUUCAUUUUCACCUUUGAGGCUGCCUGCCUUUUAUCUUGGAUUAAAUGUAUUCUCUUAUCUAAAUUCUCAGUAUUUAUCAGAGCACCUUGUUUGUUUGAGUCUAGCACUUUAGAUAUUAUUUGGUAAUUUACUAAUUUAUUAUGUAUCUCCCCCAGUAAAUUUUAAGCUGAGAACAGGGACUGUAACUGUUUUACUCACAUUAUAUUUGUAUUGCUUUGCACAGAGACUAGAUAUUAAAUAUUUAUUAAAGAUAGAAAUAAGGAAGUGAUGCUACUUUGUAUUCAAAGCUUUAUAUAUUCCUAGACCUUUGCUUAUCUGUUAAAAACAAGACCUAGCAUAUAACAUAUAUUAGAUGCUCAGUAAAUAUGUUUAAUGAAUAAAACCAAAGUUAUCUUCUGGAAUCAUAAUACAUGAGUUCUAAUACACCCUGGUAGAUAGAAUUAUCUAGUUCUUAUACUUUUAUUUGUUGUUGAGAUGGAGUUUCACUCUUGUUGCCCAGGCUGGAGUGCAGUGACACGACCUCAGCUCACUCCUGGGUUCAAGUGAUUCUCCUGCCUCAGCCUCCCGAGUAGCUGGGAUUACAGGCGCCCACCACAACGCCCGGCUAAUUUUUUGUAUUUUUAGUAGAGAUGGGGUUUCAACAUAUUGGCCAGGCUGGUCUUGAACUCCUGAUCUCAGGUGUUUCACCCGCCUCGGCCUCCCAAAGUGCUGGGAUCACAGGCGUGAGCCACCACGCCUGUCCUAGUUCUUAUACUUUUUUUUUUUUUUUUUGAGACCAAGUCACGCUCUGUCACCCAGGCUGGAGUGCAGUAGUGUGAUCUCGGCUCACUGCAAGCUCUGCCUCCCAGGUCCGCGCCAUUCUCCUGCCUCAGCCUUCCGAGUAGCUGGGACUACAGGCGCCUGCCACCAUGCCCGGCUAAUUUUUUCUAUUUUUUAGUAGAGAUGGGGUUUCGCCAUCUUAGCCAGGAUGGUCUCGAUCUCCUGACCUCGUGAUCUGCCCGCUCAGCUUCCCAAAGUGCUAGGAUCACAGGCCUGAGCCACCACGCCUGGCCCCUAGUUCUUAUACUUUUAUGAAAGACAAAGAAGGUGAAGUGCUCCCCUGACCCCCCAACCCCGAAAAAAGCUUAGUAACAUGCUGAAGGUCACAUAGUUUUGUUGUGGUGACCUGGCCUGUUUUGUUUUUAACAGCAAAGCCCAUGUGUUUUUCUUGCACUUUGUUUACCGUCUGACUACUGCCAUUUCCUUAAUUUCAAAGAUUUUCAACUUGAAUCCUCAAUUUCUUCACAUGAAAAAAUGGACCAUCUAGAUUAGAUGGUUUCUAAGGUCUGCUGUGAUUUUAAAGUUAUGUAGCAUUGUGGCUGUAUGUCUUCACAGCAGUUCAAGAAUAUUGCUUUUAAAGGAAUUUGUAGUUCUUUGUUGGGAAAAUUUUCUAUUAUUUUGCUUCCUCAUAAGUGAUGCUCAUCUUUUCAAAGAAAUACAUAUACAUUUUUAAGUGUAUGUAUGAGUAGUAUGUGUAUUUCUGUCUACAAAAUUAUAAAAUGAUGAAACUAUUCUGUCAUACCUAGAAUAUAAAAGGGAAAAAAGUGUGAAUUCUUUAAAUAUUUUUCUAUGUCCUAAUCACUGGAAGUCCUAUAGUUGUUUCAAACUGUUCUGUAAAAUUUGUCUUGUUGCUUAUGUUCAAAAUAUAUUUCCAUGUUUUAGUGAAGAAAAGUACAAAGUGGCUUGACAGAAAGUGAAAUUAAGACUGCUGGUAAUCCUUUGAAGAGACUUAGUAAUAGGAGUUGGCAAAUAUUUAAGAGUGGCAUUGGAGACAAAUGGCAGAUUCAGGAUAGGCUGUUUCUGUAGGAAGCAUGGUUCUGGAUGAGUGCUGCUCAUAAAGUCAUUGAAAGUUAUUCCAGAUAGUUUAAUAGAAGUGUUUGUUUAGCAAAGACAACAGAUUUUGCUAUUUUGACUGCAUUGAUUGUAUUAGUUCAGAUUUAUGAAAGAAAGAGCCCGGAAUACAGAAAUAAGAUAACAAUAGAAAAUUUAAGCAUGUCAAGAACUCUAAUGCUGGAAUUGUCACAGCAACCACAAAAUUACUGGGCAUCAAUAGACUCCUAAGAAUUAAGAGAAAUUGCAGAAUGUAAGCCAUAAUUGUCAUUUUAGGAACAUUAUGCUAGAGCACAAGUUUAGGAUUGGGCAAAAGAGUUGAUUUUUAAGAUUGCAUUGGUGUUCUCUCUCUCUCUUUUUUUUUUUUUUUUGGAGACGGAUUCUUGUUCCGUCACCCAGGCUGGAGUGCAGUGGCACAAGCUCGGCUCACUGCAACCUCCGCCUCCCAGGAUCAAGCGAUUCUCCUGCCUCAGCCUCCUGAGUAGCUGGGAUUACAGGCAUGCUCCACCAUGCCCGGCUAAUUUUUGUAUUUUUAGUAGAGACAGGGUUUCACCAUGUUGGCCAGGCUGGUCUCAAACUCCUGACCUUGUGAUCCACCCGCCUUGGCCUCCCAGAGUGCUGUGAUUACAGCUGUGAGCCUCCGUGCCCAGGCCAGUGUUCUCUCUUAAAUGUGUUUCAAUAUGGUGGACAUUUAUUGAGCACUUGUGUUGGGCGUUUCAACAGGAGGCACUGGUACGAAAAGUAGCUUGUUCUAGUUCAUAUAUCAUUUGCACUUUGCUUAACUUGUAUAAGUACUUUUUACUGUUUAAUAAAUAUUUUAUUAGAAAAUACUUCUCUGAUCUCUCAUUGAUGCCCUUCUUACUAUUUUAACCAUUGUCAUCUUUGGACAUCUGUCUGAAUUGUGGGUAAGACCUUAACCUUUGGAGUAGAGAGCAAUGCUGCUUACAAAAUAAUGAUUGUUGGUAGUCUGUUCAACAGAUUUGCAAUUUCAAAAAGAAAAAAAUGCAACUUUUUCCCACAUCUUUCACAUAUAUUUUGCAAAUCUUAUGCACAUAAUUCACAUAUUUUGCACAUUUUAAAUGUAAGAUGAUUUGCAUGACAAUCCCCUUAAGUUUUUAAGUGUUAGUUUAUUGUAGAUGCUUAUGUACACAGUGAAGACUGUAGGUCAGUUUUAACCUCAGCCAACAUGAGGUUAACCGGAUGUUCACCUUACUAAUGUUCUUUCGUAUUAAUUUUAAUGCUUGUUAAAUUUACAUUUUAUAUUUGAUACUCAUUUUCCCAAUUCACAAAAUUGGCUUAUUGAAAAAUGAUGAAAAUAGUAACAAAUAUCAUUCGUAAAAAUGCUCCAAUGGAAAUAACUUCAGUGUGAAUACAGAAUGAGAAAAUGUAUGUGCUUUUGGCCGGGCACGUGGCUCACACCUGUAAUCCCAGCACUUGGGGAGGCCUAGGUGAG